AGCAGCCGCGGUAAUUCCAGCUCCAAUAGCGUAUAUUAAAGUUGUUGCAGUUAAAAAGCCCGUAGUUGAAUUUCGGGAUCAAAUUGUCGGUCGUGCCUCGGUACGUACUGGUAUUAUUGGUUCCUCCCUUCUGACGAACCACGAUGUCAUUAAUUUGGUGUCAUGGGAAAUCAGGACUGUUACUUUGAAAAAAUUAGAGUGUUUAAAGCAGGCUCGCGCUUGAAUACAUUAGCAUGGAAUAAUGAAAUAGGACGUUUGAUUCUAUUUUGUUGGUUUCUAGGAUCGACGUAAUGAUUAAUAGGGAUAGUUGGGGGCAUUAGUAUUCAAUUGUCAGAGGUGAAAUUCUUGGAUUUAUUGAAGACUAACUACUGCGAAAGCAUUUGCCAAGGAUGUUUUCAUUAAUCAAGAACGAAAGUUAGGGGAUCGAAGACGAUCAGAUACCGUCGUAGUCUUAACCAUAAACUAUGCCGACUAGGGAUCGGAUGAUGUUAAUUUUUUAAUGACUCAUUCGGCGCCUUAC
RNAcentral lists this ribosomal RNA (520 nucleotides) under uncultured Glomus. Its description in RNAcentral is "SSU rRNA". It matches the Rfam family "Eukaryotic small subunit ribosomal RNA", at positions 569 to 1091 of the family's 1831-position model. The record is from RNAcentral. Lineage: Eukaryota; Fungi; Glomeromycota; Glomeromycetes; Glomerales; Glomeraceae.